Chelonus insularis is the source of this 640-nucleotide long non-coding RNA. RefSeq lists it as uncharacterized. Lineage: Eukaryota; Metazoa; Arthropoda; Insecta; Hymenoptera; Braconidae. The transcript has 4 exons. The record is from RefSeq and is a predicted model, not a curated record.
CGCAGUGGAAGGGAGCAGGAAGAUGGCUGCUGCGUGGAGGCAGACCUCACAUCGCAAUCCGAGUAUAUUGUGUUAUUUAUAAAAAAUAAGACGUUUAAAUAUUGUUAUUGAUGAAAAAAGGAUUCAAAGAUUCGACGCAGCCACGCCCUAGCAAUGCGGCCAUCUUGUUAUCUCAAUGCACCACGUGAGUCUCUGUAUGUAAACCGUAUAUGACAACCGGCGAACUCUCAACAAGUAAAGCUUCCAGCAACAUCAAUGUUCAGAUUGAUGUAAAAAAGUCGAAAAAGUGCGUUUCGAUGGAAGCUAGACGUUCAUCAGAUCCAAAAACUUGGAAAUGAAGGAUUAACUUGAAGAAUAAAUCAGUUGGAGAAAAUAAUACAUCAAUCCAAGCAAGAAAAGUAUCGACUGUGAAACAGGAUGUUAUCAAAACCUGAAGGACUUGGUGCGUGCAGGAUGCAGCCUAAAGAUGCGCUGACAUUCCGCCAGAUGGCAAAAGGAAUAUCUUCUAAAGUGUAUCUCUUGAAUUCAGAAUCUUGGAGUAAUGAAUUAAAAUAAAUCAAUAACUACAAAAUAAUUACCACACUUGGAUUAAGAUGACCUAUUUAAAAAUAAAUUCAUUAUUAAAACAAUACAAUUUUUC